CUGGACAUCAGCACAGGUGUCUUCAGCAGCUCGGGGCACAGUGCCCCCGGCACGAAACAAAGGACAAAGAUCAUGGCUCAGGGAACUGUCAAGUGGUUCAACGCUGAAAAGGGCUUCGGCUUCAUCGCUCAGGAUGGUGGCGGCGAGGACGUGUUCGUCCACUUCUCCGCGAUCCAGACCGACGGCUACAAGUCGCUCGACGAGAACCAGAAGGUCGAGUUCGACCUCGCCGCUGGCCCCAAGGGUCCGCAGGCUGAGAACGUUCGCGUCUCCUGACGUAACCACGACGAGCCCCGACCGCAUCUGCGGUCGGGGCUCGU
This 320-nucleotide non-coding RNA is filed under the name Nocardioides sp. CF8. Its description in RNAcentral is "cspA thermoregulator". It matches the Rfam family "cspA thermoregulator", at positions 164 to 428 of the family's 428-position model. Lineage: Bacteria; Bacillati; Actinomycetota; Actinomycetes; Propionibacteriales; Nocardioidaceae. The record is from Rfam by way of RNAcentral.